AAAACAUGGAUGUUUGCAACUUCCCAUUACUAUUAGAACCCACUGGGAGUGGCAUCUAGCAAGCGGCAAACAAAUGUCUUUACCCCUUUGACCCAAGUCAAAACGCUGCUGGUCUGUUUGUUUGCCGAGAAAACCGAGGAAAAGAGAAGAAGAAACCGUCUCUUUAAUUUUUAUUUUGUUCCUUUUUCCACUGUUUUUCCGGCACCCAAAUGCAGCACCAGUACUCAAGUAUCCCAAGAACCGUAUUCGAGCUAUUGUAAUUAGUUAUUAUUUUACUCUCUCCCUCUUUCUUUGUAGUUAUCGAAUACUUGGCCUUGCUCAAUUGCGAAGGAGAAGUGAAAGCUAUUAUUGAUAUUUUUUAUGGGUUUUGUUUGUUUUUGUUGAUUUUGUGGGUUUCAUAUUUGUUUAUGGCUUUUUUUCUUUAAAUUUUUUAACAUGUAUGGUUUCUCUUCUGUUCUGCAGCUUUUUCCAUACGUGGCUAAUUCUGUUCCUUAAUUAUCAGGUUCUGUUUGGGUUUCUUUAUUGCCGAUUAGAUUCAUGUUUGGAAAACUUACUAGCUAUUUUUCUUUUGCCCUAAUAUCAAGAAUUAAAAGCAUAGCUUUAUAUAGUUGUUAAUGUAUUUCAUUAAUUAAAACGUGCUUUUUCUUGGUAUUUGCCUUGGAUAAUGUAUCCGGUUCCUAGCGUUGGACUUUCAGUCUUGCUCGUUUCUUGUAUUACCCUGAGCAUAGGACACUAGAGAAAGACUCAGCUUGCAUGAAUUCGAAGAUUUUAUAAUCUAUAAUAAUUUUCCUUUUUCUUAGGUUGCUUAGUGAAUUCUUAUAUACAAAAUUAAACAUACUGAUGGUUGAAAACGAGAUGAAAUGAGAAACUGUAUAUGCACCUUGUGCAUGCUAGAAGUCACAUAACACUUUUGCAGCUUACAUUUAUUUUUCUUCAGAGGAUGGUCAUGUACCCUUAAAACUGACCUCAUUAGCUUUGGCAUCAUCAAUUUCUGCAGAUCUCUGUUUAAAAUUUAUGUUAUGAAAUAAGAUUUAUUUCUCAAAUAUUCUUGAUUCAUAAUGUGAAUCAACCAAAGGACAGUUUCCCUGCAUUUUGAGUUGUAAUCCCCUUAUCAAAACAUUUGUUAACAUAUGACUAAGGUGUGGAUGUAACAGAUUGCCAUUCAGUUUUUUAGUUUAGGUUGAGGAAAAAUGUCAAUUUUGUAUUAAUUGAGUUUCUUGAAUAGCAGUCCGCUGCCUAUGGGUUGUUCUGGUAUUAGGAUCCAUAGCAGCAAAGUCUAAAUGUUUCAAAUAUGGAGCAGAGAUGAGAUGACAGGCAAAGCUGGUGAAAACGGAUGACAGAAUGCCUUAACAGAUGGCAGAAACUUUCUUAUUUGGAGCAAGAAAUUCAAAUGGAUUUACAUAAAUCUAUGUUGUGUAUUUGCUUUGUGUGCACAAGUGUUUCUUGAGUUCGGUUAAAUUGCCUUCCCUUGUUGAUGAAUGGAGCUAGAUAAAGAAUAAAUUCUGCAACCUUUUCUUCUCAAUGUAUUGGUGGAAAAUGUGCUCAAUAAAGGUAACCUUAGGUACUGGGAUAAAUGAAGGUUUGGUCAACAAUGAAUCAUUACCCUCAUAUAGUAGCCCUUUGUGCUUCGUUUUUUAGCUUACUCAACCUGCCAUGGAAUUUUGUUUUCUUGACGUAUAGCAUAUUUAGUUUAUUGCUUUUAUUAGAAUUUUACUUGCCCAUCUACAGGUCACUUGGUACACUCUUUCACUUCCACAACCAUUUGGUUAGGUUGAGGUAGCUGGCUUUUCAGUUGAUUGCUGGGUUAAAGGUUAUGUAUCUAAAUUGCUCAUCUAGACUGCAAAGUCACUAGCUUAUUUACUUGGCGUUAGAAUCUUUUCAGAAAUAAAAUAUAUGUGCAGUUAUGAAAAUUGUGAUGUUCUGCAGUUGACUUUAGGACAGAUCACAUAGCCACUUUAUUUUAACUCCAUACUAAGAGACCAAAAGCUAUAUUGAAUAUGAGUACUGAAGUGUAGAAAGGUGGGGGACUAGGGACUUGUAGUUCUGCAGUUGACUUCAGAGCAGAUUACAGGUCCAUGUAUUUUAAUUAUUGAAACAGAACAAGAAAAAACUGAAACUUGGAAGUGUCUGGUUGACUCCAGGACAGAUACAAGGCCAGAUUUUAAUCUCAAUAUUUGGAUACAAAGCGAGAAUCAUACCACUAGACCAAAUGCCCAUUUAUUACGUUUGUUUAAUUUAUUGCUACAAGAAGGAUUCCAUAAUUACUUUUGUAAUUUAUAUUUUCACAAACAAAUUGUUGUACUUGCUGUUAUUUUCAUGUAAACCAUGCAUGUCAAAUUUUAGAUCAAC
This 2349-nucleotide unclassified non-coding RNA is filed under the name Hevea brasiliensis (rubber tree). Lineage: Eukaryota; Viridiplantae; Streptophyta; Magnoliopsida; Malpighiales; Euphorbiaceae. The record is from RNAcentral.